AAUAAAAAAUCAAAAGGAUGCUACUGAUUCAAUUCAGGUUUGAGCUCAAAAACUUUAAAAAAUAUUUAUCUAAAAAUCAGUUCUGAUUUCUUCUCCUUGUCAUAGCUUAAAGGUUAACCAAUGGGUUCAUGUUUGGGUGUAGCUAGAGUUUUUUGGUUGUUUGAAAUUGGUACUAGUUGUGCAAAUUGCAUCUCUAUGGUCUUUUGAAAAUGCUGAAUCAACUGUUCCAUUAACUUGGGGUCCAUUCAAUGUUCUCCUCACUAAAUCUGGGAUUAUUUAUUGCUGCUAUUGCUAUUGUUCUUUGUGACUGCCUACUCAUAUUUCUUUCCCUUUGCUUCAUUCCAGGUACACACCCAAAAGCUCCUUGAUGUAAUUCUUCAAAUUGAAAUGGAAUGGAAGCACCGCUUCCUGAUUUGUGUUUACUCGUACUAUAUAGUUGAUUAGGAAAUAGUAUACGACUGCCUAUGUAGUUUAAUUUAUGUUUUUUUGGAUUUGAGUAUGUGGAUGACAAUAUGACUCUGCUUAUAUAAUUCAUCCUAUUUCCUUUGGUUUGUAUAUGGACUGUAUAAGGACUGAAAAACUUACUUUUAUUUCGUUAUAAUUUGUAAUAGAGCAGAUGUCUAGUAUAAUGCUAGUUUAAGUUAAGUUUAUUUAAGGUCUUGAAAUUUAUCAAUCAUCAAUAUGAGAUCAUGAUCGUGGUGUUUGUCUUACUUCAAUGGCAUGGAACGUGGAAUCAAGUUUUCUUUAUGAAACAGGGGAUCAUGAGCGUGUGUUUGUCUUACUUCAAUGGCAU
RNAcentral lists this long non-coding RNA (793 nucleotides) under Nicotiana benthamiana. RNAcentral describes it as "long non-coding RNA (NBEN_LNC040284)". The record is from RNAcentral. Lineage: Eukaryota; Viridiplantae; Streptophyta; Magnoliopsida; Solanales; Solanaceae.